Molecule: ribosomal RNA, 732 nt
Filed under: uncultured bacterium
Lineage: Bacteria
Description: bacterial SSU rRNA
Rfam family: Bacterial small subunit ribosomal RNA
Source: RNAcentral
AACAGGAUUAGAUACCCUGGUAGUCCACGCCGUAAACGAUGAGUGCUAGGUGUUAGGGGGGUCCAACCCCUUAGUGCUGAAGUCAACACAUUAAGCACUCCGCCUGGGGAGUACGACCGCAAGGUUGAAACUCAAAGGAAUUGACGGGGGCCCGCACAAGCAGUGGAGCAUGUGGUUUAAUUCGAAGCAACGCGAAGAACCUUACCAGGUCUUGACAUCCUCUGACAACCCUAGAGAUAGGGCUUUCCCCUUCGGGGGACAGAGUGACAGGUGGUGCAUGGUUGUCGUCAGCUCGUGUCGUGAGAUGUUGGGUUAAGUCCCGCAACGAGCGCAACCCUUGAUCUUAGUUGCCAGCAUUCAGUUGGGCACUCUAAGGUGACUGCCGGUGACAAACCGGAGGAAGGUGGGGAUGACGUCAAAUCAUCAUGCCCCUUAUGACCUGGGCUACACACGCGCUACAAUGGGUGGUACAAAGGGCUGCGAGACCGCGAGGUUAAGCGAAUCCCAUAAAGCCACUCCCAGUUCGGAUUGCAGGCUGCAACUCGCCUGCAUGAAGCCGGAAUUGCUAGUAAUCGCGGAUCAGCAUGCCGCGGUGAAUCCGUUCCCGGGCCUUGUACACACCGCCCGUCACACCACGAGAGUUUGUAACACCCGAAGUCGGUGAGGUAACCUUUUGGAGCCAGCCGCCGAAGGUGGGACAAAUAAUUGGGGUGAAGUCGUAACAAGGUAACC